GAAGAGUCGUUGUCUCCUUAGUGCAUUAUAAAUUAUGAAAAGUAUUUUAGUGUUUUUCAUCUUAUUGUUUGUGAUAGGUAAUUGUGAACAUUUAAUAGUUGGAGACACAAAUAGUAACAGACGGUUAAUUUAUCACACGACGGCGACGUAUCCUUCAAUGCCUUCAUUCAAGAGAGUGAAAAAUGUGUUUUACAGUGGACAUUCAGUUAUUAAUAGUGUUAUGGCGUAUGACAACCGACAUACAAACGCCACAGUCUCGGUCACCGCUGGAGGUAUCGGAUUUACUUUCAUCAAUUUAAGUUUAAAAAGCGAAAAAGGUGGAGAAUUAGAUUACGACAUCUACAUUUAUGAAUAAGCUAGUUGUUAACCGUAAUUAGUCAUUUGUUUAUGUAAAUAAAGUUGUUAAGUGAUAA
Long non-coding RNA from Trichoplusia ni (cabbage looper), 413 nucleotides. RefSeq lists it as uncharacterized. The record is from RefSeq and is a predicted model, not a curated record. Lineage: Eukaryota; Metazoa; Arthropoda; Insecta; Lepidoptera; Noctuidae. The transcript has 2 exons.